ACGUCACUUUCGCUUCUUCCCUGCUGAAAGAGGUUUACAACCCGAAGGCCGUCAUCCCUCACGCGGCGUCGCUGCAUCAGGCUUUCGCCCAUUGUGCAAUAUUCCCCACUGCUGCCUCCCGUAGGAGUCUGGGCCGUGUCUCAGUCCCAGUGUGGCCGGUCGCCCUCUCAGGCCGGCUACCCGUCGUCGCCUUGGUGAGCCAUUACCUCACCAACUAGCUGAUAGGCCGCGGGCUCAUCCUGCACCGCCGGAGCUUUACACCAUCUACCAUGAGGGAGAAAGUAUUAUCCGGUAUUAGACCCCGUUUCCAGGGCUUGUCCCAGAGUGAAGGGCAGAUUGCCCACGUGUUACUCACCCGUUCGCCACUAAUCC
This 372-nucleotide ribosomal RNA is filed under the name Streptomyces drozdowiczii. RNAcentral's name for it is "partial 16S ribosomal RNA". The record is from RNAcentral. Lineage: Bacteria; Bacillati; Actinomycetota; Actinomycetes; Kitasatosporales; Streptomycetaceae.